GAUUGAUUUUGAUCCUGGCUCAGGACUAACGCUGGCGGCGUGCUUAACACAUGCAAGUCGAACGGUGAACCCCCCUUGCGGGGGGAUCAUUGGCGAACGGCUGAGUAACACGUGGGCAACCUGCCCCCGGCUCUGGGAUAACCCCAAGAAAUUGGGGCUAAUACGGGAUGUGACUGCUGGCCGCAUGGUCUGGUGGUGGAAAGUUUUUCGGCUGGGGAUGGGCCCGCGGCCUAUCAGCUUGUUGGUGGGGUAGUGGCCUACCAAGGCGACGACGGGUAGCCGGCCUGAGAGGGUGACCGGCCACACUGGGACUGAGACACGGCCCAGACUCCUACGGGAGGCAGCAGUGGGGAAUAUUGCGCAAUGGGCGGAAGCCUGACGCAGCGACGCCGCGUGGGGGAUGACGGCCUUCGGGUUGUAAACCUCUUUCAGCAGGGACGAAGCUUUUGGGUGACGGUACCUGCAGAAGAAGCACCGGCCAACUACGUGCCAGCAGCCGCGGUAAUACGUAGGGUGCAAGCGUUGUCCGGAAUUAUUGGGCGUAAAGAGCUCGUAGGCGGUUCGUCGCGUCGGCUGUGAAAACCCGGAGCUCAACUCCGGGCCUGCAGUCGAUACGGGCGGACUUGAGUUCGGCAGGGGAGACUGGAAUUCCUGGUGUA
Molecule: ribosomal RNA, 659 nt
Filed under: uncultured bacterium
Lineage: Bacteria
Description: bacterial SSU rRNA
Rfam family: Bacterial small subunit ribosomal RNA
Source: RNAcentral